CUACGGGGGGCAGCAGUGGGGAAUAUUGCGCAAUGGGCGAAAGCCUGACGCAGCAACGCCGCGUGGGUGAAGAAGGCCUUCGGGUUGUAAAGCCCUGUCAGGAGGGAAGAACGACCGGCGUGAACCGCCGGGGAUGACGGUACCUCCAAAGGAAGCACUGGCUAACUCCGUGCCAGCAGCCGCGGUAAUACGGAGAGUGCGAGCGUUGUUCGGAAUUACUGGGCGUAAAGCGCGUGUAGGCGGCGCGGUAAGUCCGACGUGAAAGCCCGGGGCUCAACCCCGGAAGUGCGUUGGAAACUGCCAUGCUCGAGUACUGGAGGGGAAAGCGGAAUUCCGAGUGUAGAGGUGAAAUUCGUAGAUAUUCGGAGGAACCUCAGUGGCGAAGGCGGCUUUCUGGACAGAUACUGACGCUGAGACGCGAAAGCGUGGGGAGCAAACAGGAUUAGAUACCCCGGUAGUC
This 460-nucleotide ribosomal RNA is filed under the name uncultured bacterium. Its description in RNAcentral is "partial 16S ribosomal RNA". It matches the Rfam family "Bacterial small subunit ribosomal RNA", at positions 339 to 795 of the family's 1533-position model. The record is from RNAcentral.